Molecule: ribosomal RNA, 749 nt
Filed under: Alteromonas sp.
Lineage: Bacteria; Pseudomonadati; Pseudomonadota; Gammaproteobacteria; Alteromonadales; Alteromonadaceae
Description: bacterial SSU rRNA
Rfam family: Bacterial small subunit ribosomal RNA
Source: RNAcentral
UGCAGUCGAACGGAACAUGUCUAGCUUGCUAGAUGAUGUCGAGUGGCGGACGGGUGAGUAAUGCUUGGGAACUUGCCUUUGCGAGGGGGAUAACAGUUGGAAACGACUGCUAAUACCGCAUAAUGUCUUCGGACCAAACGGGGCUUCGGCUCCGGCGCAAAGAGAGGCCCAAGUGAGAUUAGCUAGUUGGUGAGGUAAAGGCUCACCAAGGCAACGAUCUCUAGCUGUUCUGAGAGGAAGAUCAGCCACACUGGGACUGAGACACGGCCCAGACUCCUACGGGAGGCAGCAGUGGGGAAUAUUGCACAAUGGGGGAAACCCUGAUGCAGCCAUGCCGCGUGUGUGAAGAAGGCCUUCGGGUUGUAAAGCACUUUCAGUUGUGAGGAAAAGUUAGUAGUUAAUACCUGCUAGCCGUGACGUUAACAACAGAAGAAGCACCGGCUAACUCCGUGCCAGCAGCCGCGGUAAUACGGAGGGUGCGAGCGUUAAUCGGAAUUACUGGGCGUAAAGCGCACGCAGGCGGUUUGUUAAGCUAGAUGUGAAAGCCCCGGGCUCAACCUGGGACGGUCAUUUAGAACUGGCAGACUAGAGUCUUGGAGAGGGGAGUGGAAUUCCAGGUGUAGCGGUGAAAUGCGUAGAUAUCUGGAGGAACAUCAGUGGCGAAGGCGACUCCCUGGCCAAAGACUGACGCUCAUGUGCGAAAGUGUGGGUAGCGAACAGGAUUAGAUACCCUGGUAGUCCACACCGUA